AUCUUUUUUGAAACCCAGAGGUUCGUCAUCAUAAAUGGCGUCAAGCUUCUGGUGUUGCCAUUCGCCCAUUUGGUUGUUAUCAUAAUCUUCUGCAACGUCUCUUUGGGGACAUUGUUCGUUGGAAUUUUCUUUGUUGGCUUCGACAGCCAUAUAUUUUACUUCAGCCUCGAGGGCCUCUUUGAGUUUGUUUUCGGCUAUGUAAGCCGUAAUUCUUUCGAGCGCU
This 223-nucleotide long non-coding RNA is filed under the name Lathyrus oleraceus (garden pea). RNAcentral describes it as "Pisum sativum (pea) long non-coding RNA (PSAT_LNC011763)". Lineage: Eukaryota; Viridiplantae; Streptophyta; Magnoliopsida; Fabales; Fabaceae. The record is from RNAcentral.